This 266-nucleotide ribosomal RNA is filed under the name uncultured bacterium. RNAcentral's name for it is "partial 16S ribosomal RNA". It matches the Rfam family "Bacterial small subunit ribosomal RNA", at positions 523 to 777 of the family's 1533-position model. The record is from RNAcentral.
UAACGGAGGAUCCAAGCGUUAUCCGGAAUCAUUUGGGUUUAAAGGGUCCGGUAGGCGGAUUUAGUAAGUCAGUGGUUGAAAGCCCAUCGCUCAAACGGUGGGAACGGCCAUUGAUACUGCUAGACUUGAAUUAUUAGGAAGUAACUAGAAUAUGGUAGUGUAGCGGUGAAAUGCUUAGAAGAUUACAUGGAAUACCAAUUGCGAAAGGCAGGUUACUACUAAAUGGGAUUGACGCUGAUGGACGAAAGCGUGGGUAGCGAAGCAGG